Non-coding RNA from Pelobates cultripes (western spadefoot toad), 535 nucleotides. Lineage: Eukaryota; Metazoa; Chordata; Amphibia; Anura; Pelobatidae. The record is from the annotation of a GenBank genome assembly.
CAUGAUGUCACUGUUCUUUUUUUGGAUUCCAGCUGAUCACAUGCACCAACACAUGUUGAAGGUUACAGACAAUCUUCAGUUACUCUUUAUAGGGGCCGGUAAUGUAAAAGACAAGUGAUCGGCGUUACAUUUACAAAUAAUAUUUUAAAUGAUCAAACUAAUAAUAUAUCAUACAAACCAAAAAAUUACAAGUAUAUAUGGCGCUAGAAAUAUAUUGAUUGUUAAAUAGCAGCACCGUAUCAGUGUACCAGCUUUACACAACACUAAAAUAGAAAGUAUCAAACCAAAAUACAAAGUGCGCUUGUGCCUUUAAAAUCGUACCUUUCAAAUAUACAUGCUUUUAAAAUGUCACAAAGGUGUUUAAAAGACAGCAAACAGUGCUUAUUAAUUAUUGUGCAAAUGACACAUCCAAUUGUGCUUCAAUUAAAGUGCAAUUACAGACUUUUGUGUGUAUGCAAAAAGCUAAUUAUUUAGUCUACCUCAAUACAAAAAGAAAGCAGCCCGAUCCUCCUUUUCCUACAGAGCACCGCAAUUA